CUCACCUGCACUUUUCUUAUGGUUGAUGGCUCUCAAACCUUGAGGAGAAAAAAAAGGGAGUAUGGUUGAUUGUUUUCUGGGCUGGUAGUUUUAAUCAACCGUCUGCUGAGAGUGACCACUGGAGUUGAAUUUGCUACCAUGGCUCUUCCAUUUGGGGUGUCUUGGCUUUGCUCUCUGUUGUUAUGGGCCUGCAUUGGCUUUACUACUCAAAAAGGCUACAAUACUGCACAUGGCUACUCUCUCGAUGGUGAUGACUUCGGUAGCGAUGAAAGUGGGCCUCGCACACAAACUUCAAACAUGUUUGAUUCUGGAGAACCUUUAUUCACCAACCAAGAAUCUGUCAGUCCAAGGGAUGAAAUGCAAGCUCUGAGACGCCACAGCUUUAUUUCCCUUCAAGGAGAACCAGAGAACCAUGAAAACAAUGAGGAUGUUAGCUCUGUUACUGGCCUCAGUGAAGACAUGGUACAAACCAACCCAGACUCAGAACAUGUCCCUGCCCCCCCAGUGCAGAAAUAUGAGCAUAAAGGAGCUGGUAAUCAACACCCCUUUGGCCUUUUAGUGGAUGUGCACACACAAGAGAAACCUAUGGAGGGGACCAGUUUUCAGACAGUCAAAGAUUUCAAACGGUUUAUAGAAAAACUGAAGAGUUCAUUUUUGAUUCCAGGAGGUGCCUCUGGUCCACAUUUUCAAACUGCACGGGAAACUUUGAAAAAUGAGAUGGCUGCUAAUGCUCAAAAUAUAAAGGGGGAAACGGACAUGGGCUAUAGGUCUAAUUAUACAAAAGAAGUAACCGCCCAUGAUGACGCCAGUGAAAAUGAAGUUUGGAGUGAAGCUAUGAAUACAGCGUUUGAACAAAGUGAAAAUGGCACCAACUACCAAAUGCCAGGUGAAAACCCCUCUGUCCCAGAUCCUGACAACUCCACUGAAAGUCUCACUUAUUCCAGUGUUUAUGACAACCAAGACUCUGGCCCAGGGUCUGCUCUCUACCCACACCACCCAGAGCAUGUUUCACGUAAUUACGGUAGUUUUGACAGUUUUGGGGAAAACCCUGAUAUUUCUACAAGUGCUUCUUAUAAGCAAAAUGAAGACUUCCAGUCAAAAAACUUCAAUCUCCCUGAACAAAUACCUUCUGGCUCAUACUAUGGAGAUGAUUUGUAUUUUGGUGGCUAUGUGACUGCUCCCCCUGUCAGCCUUCCAUACAGCCCAUCUCAAGAUUUAAGCUACUACUCAAGCCAGAGAUCCAAUAUAAUGCCUUUAACCUCUAAGGUUAUUCAACAACCAACAACAUCUCACACUGGCGGCUUUGAACUUGGUGAAGAUUUCCAAAGUGAGGAGCUAGGCAGAGUGAACUCAGCCAAUGACCUGUCUGCACCAAUGCCCAGAUCUUUGAAUUCCUAUGCAAAAAGUGUACAUGUCAAUGGACCGAGAGGUCGAUACUACAUCCCAUAUCAGUUACCAAAACAUAGGGAAAGCCCAGCCCAACCAUUGGAGGCUUAUCAACCCACUGAAAACAAGCAAUCAAAGGCUGUAAACCACUCUCCCACCGCCCACCUGCUUGUAUCUUCUGGUUCCGUUUCUUCAAGCUCUGAUAACAUCUUACCAAAGAGAAGUAGCGGUCAUGUAGGAGUUCAAACAAGUAGCCCACAUGAUGCUCAGACUCGAGCUUUCAACAAAAAGCAGCCAGUCAGAUUCCACCGACUGUUUACUAGGAAACCUUUCAGCUUGCUUCAAGACUCAAGUGGACAUGAUGGAUAUCUCAGAGACCAGAUAGUCGAUGUUAGCCCUCCUUUCAACCUGGCUGCAAAAGACAGGGAGAAAUCAGACCUCUCCCAGCUAAAUCAAGCCGCUGACACUCGGGGACCAAAACAAAUGGCUGACAAUACCAUAAUUAUUCCCAUUUCUAGUGGCUUAGAUUCAACUCAGAGUGGGAUCUCAUCCUGGGCCAGAGACGAUGUGCAUUUGAACUCUCUUACUAACUUGGCUCCGACCUCAGCUUCAGAGAAGGCCUAUUCAAGAUUUUUUGGCAAUGAUAUACAUGGUGUCAGAAACCCCCAGGGCUUAUAUUCUAACCCACUACGACGAGGUCUUUCUGCAAACAAAGCUCUGCAGACCUUCAUAAAACCAAACAAAGAACAGCAGACUCCAGCCAAUGUGAAUAAAGAGCCUCGCAUUGUGGCCAACCUGCAUCUUAAACCACUGUCUGCAUCCAAGGUUUCUGAUUCUACUUUCAGUGAUGUAUUUUGGAGGAAUGGUGGCCACAGAAAAAGGCUUCCUUCUCAAAUGGGCCCAAACAGGUCACCACCAUUUGUAAAGGCAUAUGUUCACAAGUCCAGAAAUGAUUACAAAAGGAAGAGACUAUCUCUAUCAAAGACCCAUUAUUCACCAUAUCAGGUGGAUGAAUACAAGAACAAUGUUUACCGCAAUGUAAAGGAUUUGAAGAACAAUAAAGAAGGAUUGAAACCCUUCAAGUGAAGCACAACAUGGAUCUGCUGCCAUCUUCAUCUUCGAGGUAAAUCAAGUUUAUGUGCUUCUACAAACAUCUGCUGUGAUAAUGAAAGCCAUGAAAAAGUUUAUUACCUCAUCUUGCUGUUGUCACUCGGGGCACAGUCCGAAGUCCUGUCGGUCAGAGUGGUUGUUGCUGGGAGCUGUUCUGCAUCAGCGACAAAUUUGUGCCUUAAAAAUUGAAAUAAAGUUGAACAACAAAACAGA
This is an RNA transcript of Trematomus bernacchii (emerald rockcod), 2709 nucleotides long. RefSeq lists it as uncharacterized. Lineage: Eukaryota; Metazoa; Chordata; Actinopteri; Perciformes; Nototheniidae. The record is from RefSeq and is a predicted model, not a curated record. The transcript is spliced from 5 exons.